GCUGAAUUGAGGUGGCUUUGAGGUCAUCCGAUUUCUAGACGUGUGCGGUCACCUGGUCCUGAAAACCCUCCACACAGAAUGGUUUGCAAUUUUUUUUGGUGAUGGCAUGUUCAGAAUCUUGGAUCCCUAAAUUGAAUGUUGGAAAUAUGUAGGAGCCUUGGAAAUUACGUUGUUUUCAUAUAUUAAUGUUUUGGUAGACUAAUAAAUGUAUGUAAAGGAACUCCAUACUUGUAAGGUGACAGGUAUGUCUCAGGGCUGUCACCUGUGUGAGUGCUGUGCUGUGGAGACAGCUCUGCUGUGGAGAUUCUCUGUGGACCUCUCGCUGUCCUGGGCAGACUGCGAGAUUCCUCCCAUGAUGCUUUGGUUAGCUGGUUUUCUUUCCUACCUACAUUGCAGUGGGAGCUCCUUAGAUCAGGAGUUAUGAAGAGAAGAAAAAGCAUCAAGUAACAAUCUUAAAUGCAGUAACCACAGAAUUUCUACCUGGGAAUCAUCUUACAAGGUUGCAUUCUGCUGAGAACAGGAGCUUCACAUCACUUACUGAGAGACUCAUCCUUCUCCUGAAGAGAAAGCAGUGUUUUAUAUAUAAGUGCCUUGGCUGUCCAAGGAUUGUCUCUAGAAAGUUCACAGCACUGUAUUCUAAAUGUGGCUUCUCAGUGUGCUGGUCACUGCUGUUGUGGUUUUAGCCUGAGAAGCCGAGUGUACCUCAGGCAUGGGAAGACCCAGAGCUGACUUAUGAGUAUGGAAGCUUGCUAGGACCGAAGAGAGCUAGAGAUGCUCCUGCGUUUCCCUUGGUGGCUUU
Molecule: long non-coding RNA, 799 nt
Organism: Rattus rattus (black rat)
Lineage: Eukaryota; Metazoa; Chordata; Mammalia; Rodentia; Muridae
Exons: 3
Source: RefSeq, a predicted model, not a curated record